AGCGAACGCUGGCGGCAGGCCUAACACAUGCAAGUCGAACGAAGUCUUCGGACUUAGUGGCGGACGGGUGAGUAACACGUGGGAACGUACCUUUAGGUUCGGAACAACUCAGGGAAACUUGAGCUAAUACCGGAUAAGCCCUUCGGGGGAAAGAUUUAUAGCCUUUAGAGCGGCCCGCGUUAGAUUAGCUAGUUGGUGAGUUACAGUCUCACCAAGGCCACGAUCUAUAGCUGGUCUGAGAGGAUGAUCAGCCACACUGGGACUGAGACACGGCCCAGACUCCUACGGGAGGCAGCAGUGGGGAAUCUUGCGCAAUGGGCGAAAGCCUGACGCAGCCAUGCCGCGUGAAUGAUGAAGGUCUUAGGAUUGUAAAAUUCUUUUACCAGGGACGAUAAUGACGGUACCUGGAGAAAAAGCCCCGGCUAACUUCGUGCCAGCAGCCGCAGUAA
RNAcentral lists this ribosomal RNA (449 nucleotides) under uncultured bacterium. RNAcentral describes it as "partial 16S ribosomal RNA". It matches the Rfam family "Bacterial small subunit ribosomal RNA", at positions 29 to 523 of the family's 1533-position model. The record is from RNAcentral.